Molecule: ribosomal RNA, 294 nt
Filed under: uncultured microorganism
Description: partial 16S ribosomal RNA
Rfam family: Bacterial small subunit ribosomal RNA
Source: RNAcentral
GUGCCAGCAGCCGCGGUAAUACGUAGGGUGCGAGCGUUGUCCGGAAUUAUUGGGCGUAAAGGGCUCGUAGGCGGUUUGUCGCGUCGGGAGUGAAAACGCCGUGCUUAACACGGCGCUUGCCUUUCGAUACGGGCAGACUAGAGGUAUUCAGGGGAGAACGGAAUUCCUGGUGUAGCGGUGAAAUGCGCAGAUAUCAGGAGGAACACCGGUGGCGAAGGCGGUUCUCUGGGAAUGACCUGACGCUGAGGAGCGAAAGUGUGGGGGAGCGAACAGGAUUAGAUACCCUGGUAGUCC